This 30-nucleotide small RNA is filed under the name Bombyx mori (domestic silkworm). Its description in RNAcentral is "ovarian small RNA-22061". The record is from RNAcentral. Lineage: Eukaryota; Metazoa; Arthropoda; Insecta; Lepidoptera; Bombycidae.
UAGAUAAGCGCAUCCUGGCUUAGCAGCUAU